RNAcentral lists this ribosomal RNA (305 nucleotides) under uncultured bacterium. RNAcentral's name for it is "bacterial SSU rRNA". It matches the Rfam family "Bacterial small subunit ribosomal RNA", at positions 335 to 637 of the family's 1533-position model. The record is from RNAcentral.
GUCCUACGGGGGGCAGCAGUGAGGAAUAUUGGUCAAUGGGCGCGAGCCUGAACCAGCCAAGUCGCGUGAGGGAGGACGGCCCUACGGGUUGUAAACCUCUUUUGCCGGGGAGCAACGGGCGUCACGUGUGGCGCCACUGAGAGUACCCGGAGAAAAAGCAUCGGCUAACUCCGUGCCAGCAGCCGCGGUAAUACGGAGGAUGCGAGCGUUAUCCGGAUUUAUUGGGUGUAAAGGGCGUGCAGCCGGGAGUGCAAGUCAGAUGUGAAAUCCCGCGGCUCAACCGCGGAACUGCAUUUGAAACUGUG